CUGGCCCACCUUGCACCUCCCGAACGGCCCAUAACAUGCUCCACGAACUUCUCCCCAGACUCGACCAAACAGAAAACGCCGCCGCCGCGGCCAACUUCCCUCCCGCCGCCGCACCCAGGCUCCCACGCGACGCCUCCUACCUCUGCGCACGGCCGCCCACCUCCCGCGCGUCGCCGCCUGCCUCCACGCGCUGCCGUCCCACAUCCCGCACGCCGCCGUCCCACAUCCCGCGCGCCACCGUCCCACAUCCGCGCAUCGCCACCUCUCCUCCGUUGGCCGAUGCCUGCCUCCGCGCACCGCCACUUCCUCUCUAGCGCUCUGCUAGCCUCCCACUGCCUCCUUCCACUACGGCAGCGCCUUCCCUCCCCUGCGCGCUGCUGGCAAACCACCGGCAGCAGGCUCCUCCGCCGGCCGUCGACCUUACCAGCGCCGCUGCCCAACCACCGCUCUCUGUCGACCAGGCUUCUGCGCGCGCCCUCCUCUCCCAGGCCCCCUCCCAUAGGUAUUGGAGCCUCCCUUCCCUGAUCUCGACCCUGAUUUUUCUCUCCCUCCCUCUCCCUAAUCUCUCUCUCUACACUAAUCUCUUUCUCUUCUCCUUAGUCCCUAGCCCAUCGCUGAAUGCAUACGCUGCACCACAGGUUCCUACUCCACCGUGCCUCGUCUCUUCUUCUUCACUCUUCACUUCUCUAGUGUGUGCACACAAAUUUUUCGCUAAAAUGUCUAUGUGCACUAGUACCGGUGUAAGUACAUUCUAGGUCUUGGUACUGUAAUAUGGCAAUACACCUUUGAUGUAUUUGUCAUGCUUUCUAUAUCGCAUUGAAACUGGCUGCAGUUCAGUAAGUAGAUUCUGAAAUGGAGAGUCUAGGUAUUUGCUUAUUUUUGUUCAAUACAAGUAUUAGCUCACCUAUCGUCAAUGUAGGUUCCGGAUGAACUUCUUGUUGAAAGGGUGGUUGGCAGACGGCUGCAUCCUGAAACGGGGAAAAUAUACCAUCUAAAGUAUUCUCCACCUGAGAAUGAAGAAAUUGCAUCCAGGCUUACACAAAGAUUUGAUGAUACAGAAGAAAAGGUUAAGCUGAGGUCGCAGACGCAUUAUCAAAAUAUCAAGUCCUUGGUUUCGAUAUAUGAAGAUGUUAUAGUCAAGGUAAAAAGGAAAUACCACGGUGGAAGAUGUGUUAUGUGAGAUCGACAAGCUGCUCACUUCCAGGCUUGAUAAGAAAAUAGAAAUGGUGGCUAGCUAACUCAUAAGCAGAGAAAGCUGUGCGAACCACACAUGUGGUUGAAGCAUGAUUUUAUUUUAUUUUUUCAAGACAUGCAGGUGACAAAGCAUUGGUAGGAUGAUAUUUAGAAAGCCCUUUGUUAUUCAUGGAUGUAAAUGCGUCACUGUUUUGUAAUGAUCUUUACUAGGACUACAUUGAUAUAACAUGCAAUUGGAAGGAUUGCCUUGAGUUUGUACUUUACAAAAAUAGUACCAGUUUAGUGCAUUCGUUUUCCCUUCUAGCUUAGUCCUUGCCUGCUAACUGAUAUAGCUUGGAUUACUGAGAGUAUUUUCCCUGUGUGUUCUGCACUUUAGGUUCAAGUUCAUCGUGCAUCCUCGACGUAGCGCAGCUCCGGCUCCUCCCCCGCUUGCUGCCAGGUCUGUCUCUCCUUCCUCCCCUGCUCACUGUCUUGUACGACAGUGGAUGCGGCUACAUGAUGGAACGAAAGCCGUCCUCCCAGCACCGGCGGUUGUACUACACCCUACAGAAAAGAACAAUCGCUAGUUCAGAAUCAGAAAAAAGAGAAGUUCAAGAAGAACAAAGGGACAACUAUGAUGAUGGCGAUUGAAAAAGGAUUCUGAAAUAAUAUUAUUGAGACUGAAGGCCUUUGAUGCAUGAUGUCGGAGAAUUCCAGGGCUUUUUUCCAAGGCGGCCGAUGGCUUUCGAGAGAUGUGUUCAUAUCUCACAAGUUUCUACGGGUUCAAGUUCAUAUAUAUAAAGAAGAAAUGCCAAUUUUGUUGCACAUAUGUGUGUGAAGGAGGCACUGAAAGUUGAUGUACUUGUUAUUUCUUUUCUUGUAACCCCUACAUACCUGAUUGAGACUAUUCAGUCACAAUUAUUUUUGCUUGCCA
Molecule: RNA transcript, 2107 nt
Organism: Triticum aestivum (bread wheat)
Lineage: Eukaryota; Viridiplantae; Streptophyta; Magnoliopsida; Poales; Poaceae
Exons: 3
Source: RefSeq, a predicted model, not a curated record